UGAGACUGUUGUGACCAUUCCAACCACAAUUGGAUCAGAUAAAUUUGCAUGCCUUAGUUUGUGUUUUUGUAUAUGUGUUAUUUGACGUCUUCUUUGAAUUAGGCUUCUAUUAGUUCUUGGUGAUUGGCACUGACAUUUUUUCUUGACAAAUAUGGUGUACAUUUCACAACUUUGGAUAUUUUUUGGUGCUCUGGUGUAUUCAAACACUCUGGACCGCUGGAAUACAAGAUGCACAGAUGUUACCAUCAGAGCCUCUCUGAGAUCUGAAGUCUCUCUCCCAUGUCACUUUAAUAUAAGCCAUUAUGAUAAAACAGAGAAAAUAAAAUGGAGCCACUAUUCCAGUAUUGUAACGAUCACAAACGAUGGCAUUAUCUACUUUGAUAAUCCUAGUGAUGGACGAGUGAGCUCUUUCCCUAAUCUGGCCAGAGGAGGAAACUUCUCUAUCCUCAUCCAUGAUCUGCAGUCUUCAGACAUUGGCACCUACUUUUGUGAGCUGAACAGUGAAUGCUGGAGGGUGAAGAUCAUUGAAUGUCCGUACAAAACUGAACCGCUGAACUCUAAUCGCAACUCCUGGUUAUACUUUGUUGCUGGAGCUGGAGUUUUUACUCUUCUUUUUAUUAUAUUCAAUCGCACUGGUUUACAAAACCGUUUGCAGUCCUUGACAGAAAAAUGCAUGAGAUCAUCCAAAUCUAGCUCUACGAAUGAAGAACACCAUGAAGCAUUCAGAACUCCAGAUCCAAAUGAUUUUACAACAUCUACAAUAUACCAUGAAAGGAAACAAAUUCCUGAUUUUGAUUAGAUUGAAAACUUAUUUGGACUUAAAUGGAUGACUGUAAAUGCUAUUUAUUCUGUUUAAAGGCAUGCAGCAGAUUCCCUUCUGUUCUCCUGACACUCAAUACUGUAUAUACAGUACUUAUAACACAAACUCAC
Cyprinus carpio (common carp) is the source of this 930-nucleotide long non-coding RNA. The record is from Ensembl. Lineage: Eukaryota; Metazoa; Chordata; Actinopteri; Cypriniformes; Cyprinidae.